GGACUACAGGGGUAUCUAAUCCGUUUUGCUCCCCAUACUUUCGUACCUUAGUGUCAGUGUUUAGUUAGAAAGAUGCCUUCGCUUUAAACAGUCCUCUAAGUAUUAACAGAUUUCAUCCCUACUCUUAGAAUUCUUCUUUCCCCCAUUACACUCUAGUUUUAUAGUUACUAAAUAAUAAAUAAUUGUUUAAAUUGAUAUUAUUUAGUCUUAUCAAUACCACCUACGUACCCUUUAGACCCAUUUAUGAUGAAUAACGCUUACCCCUCUCGUAUUACCGCGGCUGCUGGCAC
RNAcentral lists this ribosomal RNA (290 nucleotides) under uncultured bacterium. RNAcentral describes it as "partial 16S ribosomal RNA". The record is from RNAcentral.